RNAcentral lists this long non-coding RNA (1625 nucleotides) under Homo sapiens (human). RNAcentral describes it as "non-protein coding lnc-TMPRSS15-19:1". Lineage: Eukaryota; Metazoa; Chordata; Mammalia; Primates; Hominidae. The record is from RNAcentral.
CUUUUCUAUGCUUUGCAAUAUUUUAAUUUGCAUUAGAUAUUCUGCUUCCUGUAUAGUUUCAGACUUUGAAUCAAAUAUAUACUUUAUAUAUAUAAGGUAGUUUGUGGUGUAUGUUUAGGAGGUACCAAGUAGGAACUCUGUGUGGGGGUUCUGACCCCACAUUUCCCGGUGAGGGCUUCAAGUUGCUUCCACUCAUGGUAGAUGGGGAAGGAGAGCCAGCAUUUGCAAAGAUCACAUGUUGAGAUAGGAAGCAAGAGAGAUAGGGGAGAUGCCAGGCUCUUUGUAUUGAUCAGCUUUCGCAGGAACUAAUGGAGAAAGAACUCACUGAUUACCAUGAGGAUGGCACUAAGCCAUUCAUGAGGGGAACCUGCCUCAAUGUAACAGCAAUAAGAUACUUACCAGAAUGUGGGCCAGCUGUGAGUAGCAUUUAGAUGGUCAUAAUACUGAUUCAAAAACCAUUUUUUAUGUGUAUGUGUGAAUGUUGGAUGUCAUAGCAUUGUAGGUCAACAGAGCUAAUACUCAGUUUAAGAAUAAGACAGUCAAUAGUUAAUACCUAAUAUUUUAAGAGGAAAAAAAGGAAGAACAUUGGGGCAAGGGAACUACAGAUAUUAUGCAAGUCCAAUAAUGAAAUUAACUCACUCAUCUCCACAGAGUAUACCGUUAUAAGGCUUGGCUGAAGACAAUAUGAUGCAGGAAGAGAAAAUGAGUGUUGUAAAGUUUAGUGAUUUAGAGCAUCUUCAAGGGUUUAUCAGUCAUUUAUACAUCUUUGAGGAAAAAUAUCUGUUCAAGUGUCUUGUCUAUUUACCAUUUAGUCCUGAUAGCUGCCUGUGUGAUUACUAUAUACUUGAGAAUAAUUUUACUAAUAUGCUAUAUGAAGACUACCCAAAUAUAAACAAACAUAACCUAUUCAGAGUUUCCUACAGCAAGCUUGAGUGUGACAGAGAUUCAAAUGCAGGCAGGGGAGUGAGAAUGCUAUAUAGUGAACAAAUAGAAGGUUUCAGGUACACUCUGAUUAGAGGUCAUGAGGAUGCUCAAACUCAGCUAACUAACAGCAGGACAUAUUCUGUGGUUGGUUUUGGGAGUACAUUUGAUUUUACUUGGUUGGUCAUGAGUUGGAAGCAGGGAGAAAAAUAGGUAAGCAGUCAUACGCUGUCACGACCAAGUCCUGACAAUUCUGGGCCAGUUGAUGCAGAGGUUGUGGUUUGCAUUCUUGCGCUUAUUGUGAUAUGCAGUCUGGUCAUUGCUUAUUUGUAUAUUCAGUCUCUAAGCUCUGUGGUCCAUUAUUUCAAACUUGGAUCACAAUAAAGUAAUAAGAUAUUAUUCAUCACUUUAUAGUUGUAUGUUUAAAUGAAAUAAAUAUUAGAUUAGUUGUAAAUGAAAAUGACAGCUCAAUUUGUAACUCCAUUAAUAAUUUUGUUAUAUUUAUGUGAAACAUACUCCCUUAAUGUAUAUUUCCAAACACUCUCAUUAGCUAUCUCUUCACUGUAUAGUCAAAAAUAAUUUCAGAUCGUUGAUGUCAGCAAGAUGGCAGAAUAGAAGGAUAGAGUCUCUCCUUUCCCCCAUGGAGACAAAGACUCAACAACAAUGCAUGAAUCAAUUUCUUUUGUGAGAAAUACAGUUAAAGG